UGGGGUGUAGCUCAGUGGUAGAGCGCUUGCCUAGCAUACAUGAGGCCCUGGGUUCCAUCCCCAGCAACACAC
This 72-nucleotide transfer RNA is filed under the name Marmota monax (woodchuck). It matches the Rfam family "tRNA". From Rfam's summary of the family: Transfer RNA (tRNA) molecules are approximately 80 nucleotides in length. Their secondary structure includes four short double-helical elements and three loops (D, anti-codon, and T loops). Further hydrogen bonds mediate the characteristic L-shaped molecular structure. tRNAs have two regions of fundamental functional importance: the anti-codon, which is responsible for specific mRNA codon recognition, and the 3' end, to which the tRNAs corresponding amino acid is attached (by aminoacyl-tRNA synthetases). tRNAs cope with the degeneracy of the genetic code in two manners: having more than one tRNA (with a specific anti-codon) for a particular amino acid; and 'wobble' base-pairing, i.e. permitting non-standard base-pairing at the 3rd anti-codon position. Lineage: Eukaryota; Metazoa; Chordata; Mammalia; Rodentia; Sciuridae. The record is from Rfam by way of RNAcentral.